UACGAAGGGGGCAAGCGUUGUUCGGAAUUACUGGGCGUAAAGGGCGCGCAGGCGGCCGAUCAAGUCAGGCGUGAAAUUCCCGGGCUCAACCUGGGGGCUGCGCUUGAUACUGAUUGGCUUGAAUGCGGGAGAGGAUAGUGGAAUUCCCAGUGUAGAGGUGAAAUUCGUAGAUAUUGGGAAGAACACCCGUGGCGAAGGCGGCUCUUUGGGACGGUACUGACGCUGAGACGCGAAAGCGUGGGGAGCGAACAGG
This 253-nucleotide ribosomal RNA is filed under the name uncultured bacterium. Its description in RNAcentral is "partial 16S ribosomal RNA". It matches the Rfam family "Bacterial small subunit ribosomal RNA", at positions 524 to 776 of the family's 1533-position model. The record is from RNAcentral.